CUUAGUUCCCCGACCAAGGAUCGAACCCGGGCCACAGCAGUGAAAGUGCCGAGUCCUAACCACUGGUCCACCCGAGGAUUCCCAGUGACUUGUGUUUCAACUGCCUCCUUGUCACCAGUUAGGGUGGGCGGGAGUCCCACUGCGGGGUAAGGGGUGGCUGGAGGCAGGACGUCUGACAUGGACAGAUGAGUAGACGGCUAUUAGGCACAAGGACUGACAGCCCCGGGGAGAAGGACGCCGCAGGCCCUACAGGGCACUUGGGGCGCAGUCAGGAGCAGAGUGUGCGGGCAGCCUUUAGUGACGAGAGGAUGAGGUGGCCUCCAGUUCUGUGGGAGGAUGUCACUGACUUGCUUGAAUCAUUCCGCGGGCUGGCAGGGCAGUGACAGCAGGAGCCCAGCCGGUCCCUCGGUCCCUCGAGAAGGAGGGCCUUGGGCUAUCCCAAGGGCUAUCUACCUCAUCGGCGGCAGCUGUGAGGGACCCUCCGUGUUUUCCUAGCGCGUGAGAUUCGCCCUCAAUCGAGGCCUUCACCACGGCUCGCGUUAGUCACGCGCCGUCUGCAAAAUGAGUCAGACAGGCCUGGGUUUGAUGCAGCCCAGUUGGGCUCCUGGCUCUCGGCAGACACGGCACCUCUGUGUGUGUGCCAGCUUUGUCCUUAGGGACGGUGGUUCCUAGGGUGGCAGCGAGGGUUAGAGGCAAGGGUGUGUCAGGGUCCAGCACACCCUGGGCGCCCCCUCACUAAGCGUGUCUUGUUAGAUUCGGGGGCUCGGGUGCAGGAGUCACCAGGCCAUGCUGGGUCCCCUGCAGCACUGCCUGCCUCUCGUAGGGCAGAGGGCUGUCCUCGUGCCACCUGUCCUGCCCAGGGGCUGUGCGCCCACAGCUGCUGUGCUCCUGACCAUAUUUGGGCAAGAGGCGGCGGCCGCUAUUAAUAACCAGCGGGGCCGCCAGGGCCCGGGGUGGUCUAUAAAGCCAGACCCACCAGCCCUGAGAGGCUCCUUCAGCCCCCGAGACCUUUAGCCCCCCUGUUGUACAGAGAGAAAAAGAAAAGUGCUUCUAUCUCGUGCACAUUCCAAAGAAAGAACCAGCUUCUGAGACUCACAGGAGGUCACCUGUAAGCCCUAGGAAUGUCCCAUCUGAUCCACUCCGCCCCGUUGAGGGGAGUGGUUAGAAGUCAGAGGACAUCCUUUCAUGGCAGCGGUUAAUGUAACCAUCUAGCGCGGAGGUCAAGGGCGGACACUUGGACGUAGGGCAGACCUGGGUUCAGAGCCUGACCUCGCUAUUCACCAGCUCCGUGACCCUGCAGUGCCAUGUUGCUCUGAGCUUGACUCACUUUUACCAUCUGCAAAAUGGGACUCACAGUUACAGUGCUGGGCACAGCCCAGACCGUGUGCCCAUUUCUGCAUGCAUGGAAACUUACAGGAUGUGUCUUCUGUGGCACUGCCAAGCAAGUCCAUCCCCGUCUCUUCCGAGAGUGGCCUGCAGACCCAGCCGGGAGCGGACAUCAGCCACCAGGCCCCACAAGUCCAGCCACAGGAGCGUGGAGUUCAGACAAAAUGACACCAACAAAAUCUGUUUAGCUUUGAGAAAUCGUUGGGACAAAAUACAUCUGCUCGCGAGCACAGAAAAUCAUAAACAAUCAGUGCUGGAGGGCUCCCAUUGGAUCAUCUAAUAAAUAUUAAGCCUUUUUUUGGGGGGGGGUGGGGACAGGGAAAGCUGAGGCCCAGUGAGAAGAAGGGUAUCAUCUAUAUUAUAUUUGGAAUAUAAGCAGCAUUCUUCAUGGGCUGACCCGGCAGGGUUUGGUCUCCGAUGAAUUGCUGCUAUUAAUGCAGCCAGAAGUUGUCCAAUGGACAUAGCAGACAACUGAAAGAGCUCUCUGUGGCCAAUGCUGGACUGGUCUGACCAACAAAAUAUAUCAUGAAGUAUUGGAUUGUGAGCCAGUGUUUAAAAUAAAAUGUCUGUGAGUCCAUACAGAUAUAAAUAAAUGAUUGAAUAAAUAAAUACAGGGAGAAGAGACAAAUUUUUCCUGCAGAGAAGAAUUUCAUAUAAUGUCUGUAGAUAUUCUGCCCUCAAGGAGAUGGAAAGUAACCCCCUUCUCUGUAAGUGUGGGCUGUGCACAGUGACUUCCUUCCAAAGAGGACAGUAUGGAAAGGGGGGAGGUGUGACCUUCCAGUGCAGACACCUGAGCAGCACGACCUCAGCCAGGGGACCGAGGUCAACACCAGCAGUGAUGAGUCAUGUUGACAGCAGGCACCCCAAGAUGAAGGAUGAGACGGCCCUUCACAGGUGGUCCUCCUCCCAGCACCCAGCGCCCCAGUGUAACCGUGAGAAAAACACCCGACAAGUUCCCACUGAGGGAGAUUCUACAAAAUCUCUGGCCACAGUCCUCAAACCCGUCAAGGGCAUCGAGAACAAGGAAAGUCUGAGAAACUGUCACAGCCCAGAGGAGCCUGAGGAGACAUGAUGCCUGAAUGUUACAUGGGAACGUGGGUGGGAUCCUAGGAAAGAAAAAGGAUAUCAGGAGAAAAGCACUAUGGAAAUCUGAAUAAAUUCUGGACUUCAGUUAAUAACAGUGUAUCAAUAUCAGUCUAUUAAUUGUAACAAAUGUAUCAGCCUAAUGUAAGAUGUUAAUUUAGGAGAAGCUGAGUGUGUGGGGGAGGGUAUGGAAAUUUUCUGUAAUAUUCUUGCAACUUUUCUGUAAGCCUAAA
Molecule: long non-coding RNA, 2702 nt
Organism: Balaenoptera acutorostrata (minke whale)
Lineage: Eukaryota; Metazoa; Chordata; Mammalia; Artiodactyla; Balaenopteridae
Exons: 4
Source: RefSeq, a predicted model, not a curated record